AGUGAACGCUGGCGGUAGGCCUAACACAUGCAAGUCGAACGGCAGCACAGUAAGAGCUUGCUCUUACGGGUGGCGAGUGGCGGACGGGUGAGGAAUAUAUCGGAAUCUACUUUUUCGUGGGGGAUAACGUAGGGAAACUUACGCUAAUACCGCAUACGACCUACGGGUGAAAGCAGGGGAUCUUCGGACCUUGCGCGAUUGAAUGAGCCGAUGUCGGAUUAGCUAGUUGGCGGGGUAAAGGCCCACCAAGGCGACGAUCCGUAGCUGGUCUGAGAGGAUGAUCAGCCACACUGGAACUGAGACACGGUCCAGACUCCUACGGGAGGCAGCAGUGGGGAAUAUUGGACAAUGGGCGCAAGCCUGAUCCAGCCAUACCGCGUGGGUGAAGAAGGCCUUCGGGUUGUAAAGCCCUUUUGUUGGGAAAGAAAAGCAGCAGGUUAAUACCCCGCUGUUCUGACGGUACCCAAAGAAUAAGCACCGGCUAACCUCGUG
This 492-nucleotide ribosomal RNA is filed under the name uncultured bacterium. RNAcentral describes it as "partial 16S ribosomal RNA". It matches the Rfam family "Bacterial small subunit ribosomal RNA", at positions 29 to 507 of the family's 1533-position model. The record is from RNAcentral.